This is a long non-coding RNA of Musca domestica (house fly), 1751 nucleotides long. RefSeq lists it as uncharacterized. Lineage: Eukaryota; Metazoa; Arthropoda; Insecta; Diptera; Muscidae. The record is from RefSeq and is a predicted model, not a curated record. The transcript has 4 exons.
AGGUACCACAAGGAGUGGGCCGAUAUAUUCCAUCUUCACACCAGACCUUGGGUUAAUAAAAAUGUUGUGAUUUGUGUAAUUUGAAGACAAUCGGACUAUUACAUCACAUUUUAUAAGAGUUAUAGUAAUUCAAAAUGUUGACCCUUUGUGGGGGAGGUACUUGAUGGAGUGGACCGAUAUUGUCCAUUUUCACACCUAACCUGACACUGAUGCAAGUAUUAGGAUUUGAAAAGUUGGAGCAAAAUCUGUUUAUACUUUCUCUUUCUGUGCAAUAAAUAAUUUUCUUUGAAAAAGUUGACUUUUGUACCAGAAGGAGUGGACCGAUAUUGCCCAUCUCCGAACUCGAUUUAAGUUUGACAAUAAUAUUACGAUGCACCAAGUUUGGAUCAAAUCGGAUACUCUCUUCGACAAUUAUCGUGCACACCAGCGGACGGACGGACAUCGCUAGAUUGAUUCCAAAUGUCCUGAAGGCCUAGGGUCUAAAACCGUUAUUUCGAUGAGGCACGUUUUGGACGUAUGACGUAUGGUAUACAAAUUGAGUAGCAUUUCACACGUUAGCAAACUUUCCAAUUGGACCGACUGUACCUGUAACAACCGUAUUCUAGAAAAACGAAAUAAAAUCGCUGUGUUGACCAUUAAGUGGCGUUGCCGGUAUGCUGGCGUUUAGCGCGGCUAUGGCUCGUCGGAUUGGGGGUUGGUUCUUGCCACUUGCAGAUCUUUUCGGUUGAACAAACAAAAAAAAUCAUACCGGACUUCAAACUAAAUUAAAAAGGGGGGCUUAACGGCGGGCACCCAGAGUGUAGAACCUUGGCGGCAGCUUGUGACUAAGGCUUUUUCCCAAAACCUGAGGACGAACAAAAGAAUGUAGGUCGAUACCACAUUAAAUCGACAAUCUAACCAAUGCCGGGUAACCUAACCUUGAAUUGAGCUCAGUUCAAUGUCGCGUACCUGCAUACCAACACAAAGAAAAACCGCGGAAUUUAAUUAUGUAGCUUAGUCGUCCGUCUGUCUGUCCGGAGUUAAAUAAGUUGCAGUGUCAAUUGGGAAUGAUACCAAGCCACGCUGGAGCAGCAAUGGCGCAAAAUCAGCGGCUCCCUCGAUGGAUUGGAUGGGCGAUGGUGUGGCUUGCAGGCUCCAAUUCUUCAGGAAUUUCUAGGUUUAAGAUUUAUUUUCUUGCUUUAGAUUUUUAGUUAAUUGUUUUGGUUUUUUUUUUCAAUUUUGUUAAAUUGUUUCCAAACUUUCUUAAAUUUUAAAAAAAGUUCAAUUUUAUUUUUAAUUUUCGAUUUUUGUGAAAAACUAUUUGUUUUGUUAUAAGUUUUCUUUCAACUUUUAGCCUUUCGUUGUUAAAUUUUGUUAAAUUAUUUUAAGGCUUCCAAUUUUGUUAAAAAAGUUUGUAUUUCGUGUUGUUUGUAUAUAUGUCUCAAACAAAUAAAAACAUUGAAUUCACUUCUCAACAAGUGGUUCACCACCAAAAACUUUGUCGUUUUUUUUUUUUUCUUCGCUGGUUACUGGGAGCCACACAUCCAAUCUUCUUCACAGGCAAAAUCAAAAAGGAAAGAUUUUUCUUACAAUUUUUGCCAGGAAAUUCUGGCUGCCAUUUUCCUCGCUUAAUUUUUCCAUUUUCUUUUUACAUUAUUCCCUAAUAUUGACAUUUAGGUAAUUGGAAUAAUCAGCUGUUUUUUAGUAAUUGUUCUUCUUCUUCUUCUUCUAGCUAUCAAUUAUUUUCAGGGUUACCCCUUUUAAAGGCGCAC